CCAAUUGUAUAGAUGCCUAGGACAUAAAUGGUGGGGAUCGCUAUUGAAAUUAAAUUAAUUAUUACAAGUAGGACUCAGUUCUGUAACACAUCUAAUGAUAUGUUUUGAUACAGAUGCAUCCAAGAAGUCAGAUUCAAAUCCGCUGACUGAAAUACUUAAGUGUCCUACUAAAGUGGUCCUACUAAGGAACAUGGUUGGUGCAGGAGAGGUGGAUGAAGACUUGGAAGUUGAAACCAAGGAAGAAUGUGAAAAAUAUGGCAAAGUUGGAAAAUGUGUGAUAUUUGAAAUUCCUGGUGCCCCUGAUGAUGAAGCAGUACGGAUAUUUUUAGAAUUUGAGAGAGUUGAAUCAGCAAUUAAAGGUUAGUUGUACAGCUAAAUAUUAAAGAAUAAAAAAGUUGAAUUUACAGCCUUAAUCUUUACAAGUAAAGUUACUGUUUAAAGUUAAACCUUUAUCUUAUAGGAUACCUAUAUUAACUGUCUUUUGUUUGCCUUUCAGCGGUUGUUGACUUGAAUGGGAGGUAUUUUGGUGGACGGGUGGUAAAAGCAUGUUUCUACAAUUUGGACAAAUUCAGGGUCUUGGAUUUGGCAGAACAAGUUUGAUUUUAAGAACUAGAGCACGAGUCAUCUCCGGUGAUCCUUAAGUGAACUGCAGGCUGAGAAAAGAAGGAAAAAGGUCACAGCCUCAUGGCUGUUGCAUACCAAGACUCUUGGAAGGACUUCUAAGAUAUAUGUUGAUUGAUCCCUUUUUUAUUUUGUGGUUUUUUAAUAUAGUAUAAAAAUCCUUUUAAAAAAACAACAAUCUGUGUGCCUCUCUGGUUGUUUCUCUUUUUUAUUACUACUCCUGAGUUAAUGACAUUUUUUGUUAGAUUUCAUGGUA
Molecule: small RNA, 877 nt
Filed under: Pongo abelii (Sumatran orangutan)
Lineage: Eukaryota; Metazoa; Chordata; Mammalia; Primates; Hominidae
Description: retained intron
Source: RNAcentral